This is a long non-coding RNA of Phyllostomus discolor (pale spear-nosed bat), 1106 nucleotides long. RefSeq lists it as uncharacterized. The record is from RefSeq and is a predicted model, not a curated record. The transcript is spliced from 2 exons. NCBI's taxonomy places the organism in Eukaryota, Metazoa, Chordata, Mammalia, Chiroptera, Phyllostomidae.
UGUGGAAUCUAAAGAAGAAAAAAAAAAUAGAAACAGACUCAUAGAUACAGAGAACAGACUGACAACUGUCAAAAGAGAAGGCAGCUGGUGAGCUGGGUGAAAAAGGUAAAACCCUACACAUUGGUAGUGACAGAAUAGUCAAAGAGAUGCACAUUACAGCAUAGGGAACACAGUCAAUAAUAUUGUGAUAAUUAUGUAUGGGUCCAGGUGGGUACUUGAAGCAAUGGGACAUGAUUUUCAAACUACGUUGCUGUACAUCAGAAACUAAUACAGAAUAACACUGCAUGUAAAAGGAAAAAAUAUCUGUCAGGGGUAGGUGCUUGGAUUACCUUCUAGCAGCAAUGUUCAACCCUUUUCAUUUCAUGGUACACAUAAAGUAAUUAUUAAAAUUCUGCAACACACCAAAAAAUAUACUUUUUGCAAAUGUGACCAAAAAAAUAGGUGUAAUUUUGAUCCAUUCACACUAACGGCUUUUGUUGUGUUGGCUGUUGUCAAUUUUUUAUUUGAAAAUCUAAAGAAAAGAGGUCAGUGUCCCUAACUAAACAGGUACUGAAUGUUUUAAAAGUUCUCAGUACACACUGGUUGAAAAUCGCUGCCUUAUACUCAAUAAAAGGGGAGUUCUGGAUGAGCCAAUAAUUAGCUCUAACCCUGGAGGAAUAAAGCAACUGGGUAGGAAUCCAGCAGAAUAGGAACAACCCUCUAUGUUCCUGAGACCUUCAAUUUAGGGACUUUCAGAUCCUGAAUCCCUAACAAAGGCCAUGGCAUCCAGUUCAUCUGACAGACAUCCAGAAAGUAGCAGCCUGGUCUAGAUGGCCUCUGGAAUUUGAGUCACAUGAGGUUAACAAAACUAUAAAAGGGAGGCACUCCCCCUCUACCAGUAAAAAUUUCUACCUUUCACUGAGGCUAUAAACUGGGGGUAAUCUCCCUUUAAUCUGAAAGACUCUCCUUUUGCCCUGGCCAGGUAGCUCAGUUGGUUAGAGUGUCAUCCUGAUGCAUUAUAGUUAUGAUUUUGAUCUCCAUUCAAGGGCACAUGCAAGAAGCAACCCAUGAAUGUAUGAAUGAGUGGAACAAGUCGAUGUUUCUAAAAAAAUCAAUAAAUAAACAUU